RNAcentral lists this ribosomal RNA (253 nucleotides) under uncultured bacterium. RNAcentral describes it as "partial 16S ribosomal RNA". It matches the Rfam family "Bacterial small subunit ribosomal RNA", at positions 524 to 776 of the family's 1533-position model. The record is from RNAcentral.
GACGAACCGUGCGAACGUUGUUCGGAAUCACUGGGCUUAAAGGGCGCGUAGGCGGGCGUCCAAGUCAGGGGUGAAAUCCUCCAGCUUAACUGGAGAAUUGCCUUUGAUACUGGACGUCUCGAGGGAGGUAGGGGCAUGUGGAACUUCCGGUGGAGCGGUGAAAUGCGUAGAUAUCGGAAGGAACGCCGGUGGCGAAAGCGACGUGCUGGACCUUUUCUGACGCUGAGGCGCGAAAGCCAGGGGAGCGAACGGG